RNAcentral lists this non-coding RNA (545 nucleotides) under Zootermopsis nevadensis. RNAcentral's name for it is "eukaryotic large subunit ribosomal RNA". It matches the Rfam family "Eukaryotic large subunit ribosomal RNA", at positions 672 to 1126 of the family's 3401-position model. Lineage: Eukaryota; Metazoa; Arthropoda; Insecta; Blattodea; Termopsidae. The record is from Rfam by way of RNAcentral.
AGACUGAAGUGCGCAAACUCUAUAUUAAAAAUAAAUGACAUCCAUAUAUAAAUAAUUCUCAUGUCCGCCGCUAAGGGGGGACGGCCGGUCGUUCCUCUCACCGGGGUGCGGCCGGCAAGCACUCCCGGGGCGCCUCGGCCCAGACCGCAAGCGCACACGUUGGGAUCCGAAAGAUCGUGAACUAUGCCCGGCCAGGACGAAGUCAGGGGAAACCCUGAUGGAGGUCCGCAGCGAUUCUGAUCGUCAGAGCUGGGUAUAGGGGCGAAAUACUAAUCAAACCAUCUAGUAGCUGGUUCCCUCCGAAGUUUCCCUCAGGAUAGCUGACGCCGAGUUGGAAAGGGACCAGUUUCAUCCGGUAAAGCGAAUGAUUAGAGGCCUUGGGGCCGAAAAGACCUCAACCUAUUCUCAAACUUUAAAUGGGUGAGAUCUGAUUUGAAAGGCGCAGAAAACUAUGAGGACUUAAGACACUGUCACUUAUCAAGCAAUCACAGUAGCCUGUUUAGCACGUGGACUCAUCAAUCUACUCGAGCAUUGAUGGUGUCGAA